GACGAACGCUGGCGGCGUGCUUAACACAUGCAAGUCGAACGGAAAGGCCCUGCUUUUGUUGGGUGCUCGUGUGGCGAACGGGUGAGUAACACGUGAGUAACCUGCCCCUGACUUUGGGAUAACAUCAGGAAACUGGGGCUCAUACCGGAUAGGAGCUCCUGCUGCAUGGUGGGGGUUGGUAAGAUCCGGCGGUAGGGGAUGGACUCGCGGCUUACCAGCUUGUUGGUGAGGUAGGGGCUUACCAAGGCUUUGACGGAUAGCCUGCCUGAGAGGGUGACCGGGCACAAUACUCCUACGAGACGGAGCAGACUCCAACCGGAGGCAGUGGUGGAGAACAUGGCACAAUGAGGCGACGCCUGAGGCGGCGGUGCCGCGAUCGUGAUAAUCGCCUACUGGGGGAGAACAGCUUUCGACUGAACCGAAGCGUUAGUGACGGUACUGGGUAAAGAAGCACCGGCUAACUACGUG
RNAcentral lists this ribosomal RNA (468 nucleotides) under uncultured bacterium. RNAcentral describes it as "partial 16S ribosomal RNA". It matches the Rfam family "Bacterial small subunit ribosomal RNA", at positions 28 to 507 of the family's 1533-position model. The record is from RNAcentral.